Molecule: ribosomal RNA, 534 nt
Filed under: Ligilactobacillus salivarius
Lineage: Bacteria; Bacillati; Bacillota; Bacilli; Lactobacillales; Lactobacillaceae
Description: bacterial SSU rRNA
Rfam family: Bacterial small subunit ribosomal RNA
Source: RNAcentral
GGCGUGCCUAAUACAUGCAAGUCGAACGAAACUUUCUUACACCGAAUGCUUGCAUUCACCGUAAGAAGUUGAGUGGCGGACGGGUGAGUAACACGUGGGUAACCUGCCUAAAAGAAGGGGAUAACACUUGGAAACAGGUGCUAAUACCGUAUAUCUCUAAGGAUCGCAUGAUCCUUAGAUGAAAGAUGGUUCUGCUAUCGCUUUUAGAUGGACCCGCGGCGUAUUAACUAGUUGGUGGGGUAACGGCCUACCAAGGUGAUGAUACGUAGCCGAACUGAGAGGUUGAUCGGCCACAUUGGGACUGAGACACGGCCCAAACUCCUACGGGAGGCAGCAGUAGGGAAUCUUCCACAAUGGACGCAAGUCUGAUGGAGCAACGCCGCGUGAGUGAAGAAGGUCUUCGGAUCGUAAAACUCUGUUGUUAGAGAAGAACACGAGUGAGAGUAACUGUUCAUUCGAUGACGGUAUCUAACCAGCAAGUCACGGCUAACUACGUGCCAGCAGCCGCGGUAAUACGUAGGUGGCAAGCGUUGU